GAUGAACGCUGGCGGCGUGCCUAAUACAUGCAAGUCGAGCGAACAGACGAGGAGCUUGCUCCUCUGACGUUAGCGGCGGACGGGUGAGUAACACGUGGAUAACCUACCUAUAAGACUGGGAUAACUUCGGGAAACCGGAGCUAAUACCGGAUAAUAUAUUGAACCGCAUGGUUCAAUAGUGAAAGACGGUUUUGCUGUCACUUAUAGAUGGAUCCGCGCCGCAUUAGCUAGUUGGUAAGGUAACGGCUUACCAAGGCAACGAUGCGUAGCCGACCUGAGAGGGUGAUCGGCCACACUGGAACUGAGACACGGUCCAGACUCCUACGGGAGCCAGCAGUAGGGAAUCUUCCGCAAUGGGCGAAAGCCUGACGGAGCAACGCCGCGUGAGUGAUGAAGGUCUUCGGAUCGUAAAACUCUGUUAUUAGGGAAGAACAAAUGUGUAAGUAACUAUGCACGUCUUGACGGUACCUAAUCAGAAAGCCACGGCUAACUACGUG
Molecule: ribosomal RNA, 497 nt
Filed under: uncultured bacterium
Lineage: Bacteria
Description: partial 16S ribosomal RNA
Rfam family: Bacterial small subunit ribosomal RNA
Source: RNAcentral